Molecule: ribosomal RNA, 397 nt
Filed under: uncultured bacterium
Lineage: Bacteria
Description: bacterial SSU rRNA
Rfam family: Bacterial small subunit ribosomal RNA
Source: RNAcentral
UCUUAGACAAUGGGGGAAACCCUGAUCUAGCCAUGCCGCGUGAUCGAUGAAGGCCUUAGGGUUGUAAAGAUCUUUCAGUGGGGAAGAUAAUGACGGUACCCACAGAAGAAGCCCCGGCUAACUCCGUGCCAGCAGCCGCGGUAAUACGGAGGGGGCUAGCGUUGUUCGGAAUUACUGGGCGUAAAGCGCACGUAGGCGGAUCAGAAAGUCAGAGGUGAAAUCCCAGGGCUCAACCUUGGAACUGCCUUUGAAACUCCUGAUCUUGAGGUCGAGAGAGGUGAGUGGAAUUCCGAGUGUAGAGGUGAAAUUCGUAGAUAUUCGGAGGAACACCAGUGGCGAAGGCGGCUCACUGGCUCGAUACUGACGCUGAGGUGCGAAAGCGUGGGGAGCAAACAGG